CUUCGGGGGAGGUUUUGCCUUAAGUGCUUCAGAUGCUUCUGACUACUCAGACACUUUUGUUUGUUCUUUGAGUCUCCAAGGUCAGGGUGAUUUCUGGACUAACCUGUGCUGUCGCAUACCAGCAGGUGGAGCAUUGGGAACACAUGGCAGAUUUCUAACUCCCUCCAGCAUUUAGGAAAAGUGAUUGCCCUGAUUAGUCUGCAGCUAAUAUAGUUGUCCAAGUAAUUUGCGUCAUGAAAUUAUAAAAUUCCUGUCACAGUGGAGGAAGCAGGAAGCCCUCAGCUGGAAGACAGAGAGCAGGACCGCUCUUCUGCCACAGUGCUCUUACCAUGCUCAGUGUAAACCAUCCUUAAAGUGCACCAAUAGUCAGGCUCUGUGGUAUUGGAGGAUCAUCUUAUACUUAAAGAUGCUUUUGAAAAGAGCUCACUUUCUACAGGCAGCUUUGUCAUCUUGGACCAGAGAUACUGGUUACCUUGAAAGAAGAAAAGGGAAGACUAUGGGUCCAAAUUAGGAAUUGGAAGACUCUUUGGGAUAACACAGAAACAUAUCAUGUAGAGGUAGCUGUAAAAUAUUUACAAUGAUUUGUUUUAAUAGUUUGUAGUUAAGUAUCUCAAAGAAUCUACUCCAGAUUAAACAAUCUACUUUCACUGUGGCUCUUUACCAGGAAUGAGUCAAAAAGUCCUUUCCUGUAAGAGAAUUAUACUGUGGACAGUAAUAUUGAGUUCUAGGUUAAACCCAGUAAGUUUGUAUAAUCAAAAUUUCAUGACAAAUCUGAAGAAGGAAUACUUUUAUGGGAAGGUAAAGAAAGGCAUCGAAUCUUUGUGAAAUCAGGCCUAAUACAUUCAGAGUAUUCACGUUUCUCCUGUUUGUAGUUCUGGUUGUUCCGGUUGUUCAGGUUUCUGUUAUGGCCAAUGCAUUGAUGUAGCUAUCCUGCUAGAGAAGGCUUAAAAUCUAAAAAAGUAAAAAUAGCCAUGGAGGUUGCUAUAUAUCAUAUAGCAAUAUAAACUGCUGAAUGUCUGUGCUCUGAGGAAAAUAAGUACAAGGGUAUUAAUAUUCUUUCUUCCUUUUUCUGUUCUUGACUAUGAUUGGGAUUUUUAUGAGGGUAUUUGAUUAUGAUAAGUUUUUAGUGUGGUUGAUGGGUAUUUUGGGGGGGCUCAUUUUUAAAGCAAAAUGAUCUUGGAUUAGCCCUGCCUCCUGUGGUGACUGUGGGGAUGACUGAUCACUGCAGUGCUGCCCAAAUUACCUGAAAUAAAGACUUAAUCUGUUUGAAUAACUUCUAGGGUAUGUUACUCCACCUAAUGGAGAGCCAAGAUGCUAUUCUGUAAAUAAACAUAUCAUUUCUUCAGGCUGAGCUGUGUGGCUCAGUCCGAGGAACACAGGAUGGCGUUGGGGGGUGUCUAAUUGCUGCUAUCAUUCUUAGCCAUAGCAGACUAAAUUUGAUUUUGUUCGAACUUUGUUCAGACUCAGAUGUGGGGCAGUUUGAAUCAGGAUCUGAAUAUUAUUUUUAGCUCACACCAUCAUCCUUUUUCUGUGGUUUGUCCUCCUUAGAUCUCCUUUUCUCAGAUAAGAAUAUCAUUUUACAACAUGUACUUCUAGAUGUUUGUUUUCUGAAAUAAUUACAUAUGGCAUAUGUCUCCAGCCCUCACAAAUUCCGUUUCAGCCAUGUUAGUAACAUUCUACUUUCAUGGUUUCCCAUACAUUUUUAAAAUAUCAGGAUGCUUUUUUUCCUUUUUGUUACAAUUGGUAAUGUUAGAUUCAAUCUCUUUCAUUGUUUUAGAAUUCAUGGCCCAAUUUAAUAUAUUCUUCUACGUCCUGUUCCAAAAUUGCUAGUUGUACAGCAUGUGUAUUAGUGAUCAAAAGAAGCGGAGCGUGUGCUUUCCUGAAAAUACACAGGAAAUGCAGUGUUAAAACCAAUAAUGUACUCUUCCUACUUCAUCAUAAUUCAUCAUGUAUUGUUAAUUCUAGUGCUACAGUGAACUCUAUGUGGGUGUUAGAAGCUCACUGCAACAUACAAUCAAUAUUCAAGGCAGUAACACACAUCUGAUUCACUGCAUGACAUAAGUGCUGUCGGAGAUGAUGUGAUUUGGAUUACGUACGAGCUGCAAGCUACAGUUCUUAAAAUGUAAUGCUGAUACAGACACACUGUUUGGUCCAGGGCAAAUAGCGUAAUUUAUUCUUUGUGAUUCCUGAAGAAGUGGAAUAUAAAUGCUUGUGAACUGUAAGGCUAGUUAAAAAUAUAUAAAAGUGGUGAAAAUUUAAUCACUUAAUACUUCAGAGUUGGAUGGAUUUCUUUGAACACUUAGCUUAGAAAGAAACUGUGUAGUAAAAAAGUGUUUUUUCUCUCCCUGACCUCUCUCCCCCCACCAAGGAAAGGAGAAAGGGGGGGAAAAAAAAGACUUACAUAUAAAAUCUGUUCUGGCUACUUCAAUGUAGUAUCAGAGGAAUGGAUUUGUUUAAAUAGUUUGGUAUAUUUUCAUGACUAUCAGAUAAAAAGGGAAAAAGUUUAUU
Molecule: long non-coding RNA, 2508 nt
Organism: Athene cunicularia (burrowing owl)
Lineage: Eukaryota; Metazoa; Chordata; Aves; Strigiformes; Strigidae
Exons: 3
Source: RefSeq, a predicted model, not a curated record